GCCAGGCAUGGUGGUGCAUGCCUGUAAUCCCAGCUACUCAGGAGGCUGAGGCAGGAGAAUUGCUUGAACCCGGGAGGCAGAGGUGGCAGUGAGCUGAGAUCGUGCCACUGCACUCCAGCCUGGGCAACAGAGCAAGACUCUGUCUCAA
Unclassified non-coding RNA from Papio anubis (olive baboon), 148 nucleotides. It matches the Rfam family "Metazoan signal recognition particle RNA". From Rfam's summary of the family: The signal recognition particle (SRP) is a universally conserved ribonucleoprotein. It is involved in the co-translational targeting of proteins to membranes. NCBI's taxonomy places the organism in Eukaryota, Metazoa, Chordata, Mammalia, Primates, Cercopithecidae. The record is from Ensembl.